GGCUGGUCCGAUGGCAGUGGGUUAUUAGAACUUAUUAACAUUAGUGUCACUAAAGUUGGUAUACCACCCCCCCACUGCUAAAUUUGACUGGCUUUAA
Cavia porcellus (domestic guinea pig) is the source of this 97-nucleotide unclassified non-coding RNA. It matches the Rfam family "Y RNA". Rfam says of the family: Y RNAs are components of the Ro ribonucleoprotein particle (Ro RNP), in association with Ro60 and La proteins. The Y RNAs and Ro60 and La proteins are well conserved, but the function of the Ro RNP is not known. Lineage: Eukaryota; Metazoa; Chordata; Mammalia; Rodentia; Caviidae. The record is from Ensembl.